UGUCUCCACAGCUUCUGGUGUACUUUCAGCUUCCCAGACUAACGAAUACAAACCGUAUAAACGAAAUGGAGCUUGCCACUUCAUAUAGCCACGUCUGUCAGCAAUUUCAUGGAGCAGGAGAAGGAUACCACGGAUAUCUUAACUCAGUUUUUCUCCCCAAAAGCAGGAGGAUUAGACACAUGCGCACGAUUGGUCUCUUUGUGUGCACCAGGAAGGGCUUGGCGUCGAUUUACACUUCCUAACGGGGCAAAGACCUGGAACGACCGUUUGUGCCUAGGAAUAAAAAUGCAUUUUAAACACAGCUACUGAAAUAAACAAUUGCCUUUCUCCCGCUUGCCUCCCACAUUGCAAGUCGCCCCGCCGCCCCUGCCCCGGUGUGCAGCUCCGGAAGGGAGACUAACAGCCCCAGACUGUGGAGCCCUGUCUUUAGGAAUCCCGCACUCGGAGGAGCGUUGCGGGCAAAGGGAGCGGAUGGGAGCGGUGCCCGGGUCUCGGGGUGGCGCGUGGAGCCCCCCGCCCGAGCCCGAGUGAUGGAGCAGGUCUCGCCAGCCUCCUCCAGCCCUGCCACCCU
This 571-nucleotide long non-coding RNA is filed under the name Fukomys damarensis (Damara mole-rat). RNAcentral describes it as "lncRNA (ENSFDAG00000023670.1)". The record is from RNAcentral. Lineage: Eukaryota; Metazoa; Chordata; Mammalia; Rodentia; Bathyergidae.